UUUGUCUUGGCAGAAUAAGUGCAUUAAAUUUAGAAUUUAAAUAUAUGGAAAACUUCCAUAGACAAAA
RNAcentral lists this transfer RNA (67 nucleotides) under Ibidoecus bisignatus (glossy ibis head louse). RNAcentral describes it as "tRNA-Leu". The record is from RNAcentral. Lineage: Eukaryota; Metazoa; Arthropoda; Insecta; Psocodea; Philopteridae.